CUCACAGCAGUCCUCCUGCUUCAGCCUCCUGAAUGCUGUGAUUAUAGGCAUGCACAUCCAAGCCCAGCUCUAUCUCCAGAAUUUAAAUUUACAACUGCCCAGUGAUCCCAGGAGGUGGAUGGGAGAAAUGGAGACUGCCUUACAAGACUUCUGAAACCUUCCCCAUCACACUGUUUAUAUUCUGAAACCCAGCUAACGCUGCGAUUCUUCAAAUUUCCCUUUGCAUAAGUCAAUGAAGCAUCUGUUGAUCACCAGCCUCGUCUGAGCUGAUAGCCUCUUUCAAGGAUGAGGGCAUAUGAAGAAUGUGCUUAAAGAUCACUUGGUAGAGAGAGAUCCACAUUUUUAUGAAGUUCUUCACAGAACUCCAAUUUAUUCAGAUGUUGAUGACAAACUACCUCUUCUUGGUUCCAUAGUGGGUCAUGAUUUGCUUUACACAAACACAUGCAAUGACAAGUUUGUGGUUAUUGAAAUUCUGGCUCAUCAGAUUUAUGGAAAAGGCUACAUUUCUGGGGUGAGGGAGAGGCUGCCUUCCACUAAAUGUUGGUAAGAAAGUGUAUUCUCCUUGGCUGUUGAGAACCCUUACCAGAGCCCAAGGUCAGUGAGUUUGAGGAUGAAGUCAGUAAUGUGAACAACAGAGCAAAAGGAAAGCAAAAAACAUGUGUCCCUGAUGGUAUCAUUAAGGUACUGAAUCAAUAAUUGAUGACAUCUUCCUUUCUCUUGACUUCCUGUUAUAGCGCUAAUGCUUCCUAAAAGCAUUUUAAACUGGAGUUUCUGUUAGUUACCGUUGAGGGCAUCCAGUUAUUAAUUAAAUAAAACUUUGUUAUAUUGUUUUGCAGUACUUUCCCCUGGGAACUUAUUGCUAUAUAGGAAUAUAUUUGUGGAGUACACUGUUGUUUAUACUGUAGAGGAUAAUAUUAGUUUUCUAUGCAAAGAUAACUUUGUUUUAGUAACUGAUAUUGUUUUUGCAAACCUACUGACAUCUUCCUUUCACUUUGCUGUUUACAUGUUAUGGCUCAAAAGUAAAAUAUAAUCUAAAUAUUUAUGCAGGCAGAGUUGAAAGAUUACCCCUCUCCCAUGUUAACGUACUUGGAAUAUAAUAUGGAUUUCUGAUAGAUUGAAGUUUUAAAAUAUUAUGCAGUGCAUUAAUUUUUAAUAGUUGAUUAAUUGGGCAGAAAAUUUUCUCAGUGUUUGUAUAACUGCUAUUUUUGGAUUUACAAGAUCUAAUGGGUUAAGUGGACAUGUUUAUAUUUUUA
Molecule: long non-coding RNA, 1253 nt
Organism: Chinchilla lanigera (long-tailed chinchilla)
Lineage: Eukaryota; Metazoa; Chordata; Mammalia; Rodentia; Chinchillidae
Exons: 3
Source: RefSeq, a predicted model, not a curated record